AUUGAACGCUGGCGGCAUGCCUUACACAUGCAAGUCGAACGGCAGCACGGGAGCAAUCCUGGUGGCGAGUGGCGAACGGGUGAGUAAUGUAUCGGAACGUGCCCAGUCGUGGGGGAUAACGCAGCGAAAGCUGUGCUAAUACCGCAUACGAUCGAUGGAUGAAAGCGGGGGAUCGCAAGACCUCGCGCGAUUGGAGCGGCCGAUAUCAGAUUAGGUAGUUGGUGGGGUAAAGGCCCACCAAGCCAACGAUCUGUAGCUGGUCUGAGAGGACGACCAGCCACACUGGGACUGAGACACGGCCCAGACUCCUACGGGAGGCAGCAGUGGGGAAUUUUGGACAAUGGGCGCAAGCCUGAUCCAGCAAUGCCGCGUGCAGGAUGAAGGCCUUCGGGUUGUAAACUGCUUUUGUACGGAGCGAAACGGCUUCCACUAAUACUGGGGGCUAAUGACGGUACCGUAAGAAUAAGCACCGGCUAACUACGUGCCAGCCGCCGCAGUAA
This 500-nucleotide ribosomal RNA is filed under the name uncultured bacterium. RNAcentral's name for it is "partial 16S ribosomal RNA". It matches the Rfam family "Bacterial small subunit ribosomal RNA", at positions 30 to 523 of the family's 1533-position model. The record is from RNAcentral.